This 367-nucleotide long non-coding RNA is filed under the name Nicotiana benthamiana. RNAcentral's name for it is "long non-coding RNA (NBEN_LNC037047)". Lineage: Eukaryota; Viridiplantae; Streptophyta; Magnoliopsida; Solanales; Solanaceae. The record is from RNAcentral.
AACUAAGGUGUUUUGAUAAGAUUUCACUAUUUUAUUCGUGUCACACCUCCUUUUUACCACCCCCGGAAGGGGUAUAAGGAGCUUUCCCAACUUAAGGUGACAAUCGAAAUAAGAUUAUUAUUUAAAGUUCAGAGUCACCACUUGGGAUAAUUUAUGGUGUCCCAAGUCACCGGUUCAAAUCCAGAAUUAAGGAAAAGAUUGACUCUGUUUAUAAUCCGCGAACACAGAAAUCCGGGUAAGGAAUUUUGUUAACCCAAGAGAAGGUGUUAGACAUUUUCGGAUUCUGUGAUUUCAGCACGAUCGCUCAACUUUUACUAUUGGCCUAAUUAUCUGAUUUUAAAACACAUUUUAGCCUUUGGUAGAUUUU